GUUUGAUCCUGGCUCAGAACGAACGCUGGCGGCGUGCCUAACACAUGCAAGUCGUACGAGAAAUCCUGGGAAACCGGGAGAGUAAAGUGGCGCACGGGUGAGUAACGCGUGGGUAACCUGCCCUUGAGUUGGGGAUAACCCCGCGAAAGCGGCUAAUACCGAAUAAUAUGUCGAUCCCUACGGGGAUGGACAUCAAAGAUGGCCUCUGCAUGCAAGCUAUUGCUCAGGGAUGGGCCCGCGUACCAUUAGCUUGUUGGUAGGGUAAUGGCCUACCAAGGCAACGAUGGUUAGCUGGUCUGAGAGGAUGGCCAGCCACACUGGAACUGAGACACGGUCCAGACUCCUACGGGAGGCAGCAUGGGGAAUCUUGCGCAUGGGGAAACCUACGCAGCAACCCGCUUGUAUUAAGGCCUUCGUCUAAACCCUUCAUUG
Molecule: ribosomal RNA, 432 nt
Filed under: uncultured delta proteobacterium wpd_20
Lineage: Bacteria; Deltaproteobacteria
Description: bacterial SSU rRNA
Rfam family: Bacterial small subunit ribosomal RNA
Source: RNAcentral